This 253-nucleotide ribosomal RNA is filed under the name uncultured bacterium. RNAcentral's name for it is "partial 16S ribosomal RNA". It matches the Rfam family "Bacterial small subunit ribosomal RNA", at positions 524 to 776 of the family's 1533-position model. The record is from RNAcentral.
UACGUAGGGUGCAAGCGUUAAUCGGAAUUACUGGGCGUAAAGCGUGCGCAGGCGGUUUCGUAAGACAGAUGUGAAAUCCCCGGGCUCAACCUGGGAACUGCGUUUGUGACUGCGAGACUCGAGUGUGGCAGAGGGGGGUGGAAUUCCACGUGUAGCAGUGAAAUGCGUAGAGAUGUGGAGGAGCACCGAUGGCGAAGGCAGCCCCCUGGGUCAAGAUUGACGCUCAUGCACGAAAGCGUGGGGAGCAAACAGG